This 116-nucleotide ribosomal RNA is filed under the name Pteropus alecto (black flying fox). The record is from RNAcentral. Lineage: Eukaryota; Metazoa; Chordata; Mammalia; Chiroptera; Pteropodidae.
GUCUAUGGCCAUGCCACCCUGAACAAGCCUGAUGUCUGAUCUUGGAAGCUAAGAAGGGUCAGGCCUGGUUAGUACUUGGAUGGGAGACCACCUGGGAAGACCAGGUGCUGUAGGCA